This 200-nucleotide unclassified non-coding RNA is filed under the name uncultured Sebacina. RNAcentral describes it as "sequence contains ITS2". Lineage: Eukaryota; Fungi; Basidiomycota; Agaricomycetes; Sebacinales; Sebacinaceae. The record is from RNAcentral.
GUACUCUCAUGCUCCCAAUGCUUUUGGAUCAGGAGUGGUGGACUUGGGUGUUGCUGCUUUACUGUGGCUCACCUCAAAUGGAGUAGUGCAACUCUUGGUUGGACAUAGUACGGCGUGAUAAGUGUCUUCGCCGGCGCCUCAUUAGAGGGUGGCCGAUCGGGAGCUCUGUGCUUCAAACCAUCUUCAGACAACAUCUGACA